UGAUCUUAAACACAAGAGAUUCUGCAGACGCUGGAAAUCAGAGCGACACACAUAAAAUGCUGGAGGAACUCAGCUGGUCAGGCCGCAUCUAUGGACAUGAAUAAACAGUCGACGUUUCAGGGACAUUAAGAACUUCACGUACUGCAGGUCUACCCCAUCAACGAGCUACUAGUUGGUGGGAGGAGCUGGAGUUGGUGCAGACCACGUUACUGCCAGCUACAGGAAGGCAUCGGAGACAGUGUGCAAAGACGGCGCGCAAUCUAUCACCCAGUGACUGUCUUGGAUAUUCCUCUUGUGUUGGAUAUUGAUAACGUGAAACGCUGCAGAUCCGUUUCCUUCUUUACUGCAAGUACAGUUCCAGGUGACUCAAUCUCUCCUCAUGGUCUAACCUCUUCAUCUCUGGAAUCAACCUGGUGAACCUCCUCUGCACGACCUCCAAAGCCAAUAUAUCCUUCUUCAAGUAAGGAGACCAGAACUGCAUGCAGUACUCCAGGUUCUUUUGAAGACCCUGGCCUAGAGUUACAUGCUGACUUUGGUUCUUUGUGGAAAUGGGAAUCACUCUCGGGGCCUCAUGACUGGCCACUUUUCGAUAUGCCAAGGACGCGGCCUGGAAGACAGGGUGCCGGAUUUUCAUGGCUCUGGAGGCGGGUGGAUUCAAGGCCAGUACCACCGUCGCCCGAUGCGUCGUGGGAGAUGGAAGAUCGUAAGCAGCAAGCUGGCUGCUGGCUGUGUGCCCAGUGACCCAAGUUCUUUGGGCACAGACCAUGGAAGAAGUGACGCAACAGACUCUUAACACCAUAAAUCAAUGCUGCUGGACCUCCUGAGUUAUUCUAGCUUUUGGUGUUUCCCGAAGUUUCUCUACGUUCUUGUCCGUAUUUUGUCAACCAUUUUAGCACUAGUUGCGUCUGCUGCUAUUGCUUUUAAGAUUCCUCUCUGAAUGCUUAUUGGGGUGUUACACUUUCCAUGGUAUUACUCAAAGAGGAAACAUGAAGAAACCGCCAAUGAUUUGAGCAAUAGAUUCCUGCACAUGUUGCCAUUUGAUACAUGGUGUAACUACAUCUUCAACGUGCGUGGCAGAUCGCUUUCCCCACUCUCUCACACAUUGAUGGUGCUUUCAAUGGUCACUUGCAACCCUUUUACACAAUGGAUAUCAUUGCCUUGAUCUUAUGCCAGAAGCUUAUACUGCACCCUCUCUCUGACAGUAAAGUAGUCAAACUCAAAGUCAAAGCAAAUUUAUUAACAAACUACACUCAGUAGCCACUUUAUUAGGUAACUACUGUGACUUAAUAAAGUGGCCAUUGAGUGUAUGUUCAUGGUUUUCUGCUGCUGUAGCCCAUCCUCUUCAAGAUUCGAUGUGUUGUGCAUUCAGAGAUGCCUUUCUACACAGCACUGUUGUAUCUCAUGGUUACUUGAGUUACUGUCGCCCUCCUGUCACCUUGAGCCAGUGUGACCAUUCUCCUUUCAUCUCUCUCACUAACGAGGCAUCUUCACCCACAGAACUGCUGCUCUCUGGAUGUGUUUUGUUUUUUUUUUGCACCGUUCUCUGUAAACUCUAGAAACUGUUAUGUGUGAAAGUCCCCGGAGAUAGCAGUUUCUCAAACCAACCAGUCUGACACCAAGACUCACUCCAUGGUCAAAGUCACUUGGAUCACAUCCCCCCCCCCCCAUUCUGAUGUUUGGACUGAGCAACAACUGAGCCUCUUGACCAUGUCUGCAUGCAUUGAGGGGCUGCCACAUGAUUGGCUGAUUAGAUUUGCAUUAACGAGGUGUACAGGUGUACAGUUAUAUCUAAUAAAGAGGCCACUGUGUAUGCAUUUACAGGAAAAUAAAGAAAUACAGUAGAAUUUAUGAAAACUCUACAUAAAUAAAGUGAAAACAACCAAUAUGCAAAAGAAUUCAGACUGCAUAAAUUAAAAAAAAUUGAAUAACAAUACUGAGGACAUGAGACCAUAAGAGAUAGGAGCAGGGUUAGACCAUUUGGCCCAUCUAGUUUGCUUUGCCAUUCCUUCAUGGCAGAUUUAUUGUCCCUCUCAACCUCAGUCUCCUUCCUUCUCCCAGUAACCUUUGAUGUCCUUAGUCAUCAAGAACCUUUCUACCUCUGUUUUAAAUAUUGGCCUUCACAGCCGUUUGUGGCAAGGAUUUCCACCGAUUCACCCCCCCUGCCCCUCUGGAUAAAGAAAUUUCUUCUCAACUUGGUUCUAAAGUGAGGUCCUUCUAUUCUGAGGCUGUGCCCUCUGGUCCCAGACUUCCACUGCUAUAGGAAACAUCCUCUUCACAUCCACUAGGCCUUUCAAUGUCCAAUAGGUUAAAAUGAGAUCCACCCCCCCCCCACCAUUCUUCUAAACUCCAUUGAGUACAGGCCCAGAGCCAUCAAACACUCCUCACAUGUUAACCCAUUCAUUUCCAGGAUUAUUCUCGUGAACCUCCUCGAGGCCCUGUCCAAUGCCAGCACACCCUUUCUUAGAUAAGGGCCCAAAAGUGAGGUCUGACCAAUGCCUUAUGAAGCCUCAGUAUUGUUCUGGUGGGUCCUGUUAGGUUUCUGGUUAACAGUGAUCUACUGUGUAAGAGGAGACUUGGUGAUAGUGACAGAAUUGAAAGUCAAGGGAAAAUGCCUUGAUAUCCUGUUGUUGGAAAUCAUAAUUGUCUGGCAACUUGUUGAAGUGGAUGUUGUUAGUCAUCCAUUUCAUCGGCCUAAAUGGGAGUGCUGGCAAGACAUGCUGCAUGCUGACACGAGCUGAUUCCUUCGCUGAUGAUUUCCAAAUGAUACUGAAUUUAUACAGCCAUGUACAGUACUGAACAAAUGUCUUAGACACACAUGUAUAGCUAGUGUGCCUAAGACUUUUGCAAAGUACUGUAGGAAAUAUUGCACUGUACUGCUGCUGUAGAAAAGUAACAAGUUUCAUGAUAUAGAAGGGGUGAUUGAUAAGUUUGUGGCCUAAGGUAGGAGGGGUCACUUUUAGAA
This is a long non-coding RNA of Mobula hypostoma (lesser devil ray), 2962 nucleotides long. RefSeq lists it as uncharacterized. The transcript has 5 exons. NCBI's taxonomy places the organism in Eukaryota, Metazoa, Chordata, Chondrichthyes, Myliobatiformes, Myliobatidae. The record is from RefSeq and is a predicted model, not a curated record.